Erigeron canadensis is the source of this 324-nucleotide long non-coding RNA. RefSeq lists it as uncharacterized. The record is from RefSeq and is a predicted model, not a curated record. The transcript has 3 exons. Lineage: Eukaryota; Viridiplantae; Streptophyta; Magnoliopsida; Asterales; Asteraceae.
UAUAUGUGGGAGCCUAUUAAAUAGGUAGGCAUUGACGCUUGGCAGGUAAUAGCCGGUUUUGUUUUUUACAAUAAUCUGAUUUGUGAUGAUCUAGAGUAUGCAAAAGGUGUGUUGCAAGAAGUUUUCACCAUCAGAGAGGGAUCUGAACUUCAUACACUUUGGUUGUUUCAUAGGUUGCCGAUGAAGCAUCGGUAGACAAUUUUCAUCCAUUUACUGUACUUAUGUUGCGAUCAUAUUUACUGAACUGUUGAAAAGGGGAAACUGUUAAACACCAUGUUCACUCAUUUUUGUCUUGAAAUAUGUUGAUAAGAAUUUAUAGUAAUA